Molecule: ribosomal RNA, 253 nt
Filed under: uncultured bacterium
Lineage: Bacteria
Description: partial 16S ribosomal RNA
Rfam family: Bacterial small subunit ribosomal RNA
Source: RNAcentral
UACGUAUGGAGCAAGCGUUAUCCGGAUUUACUGGGUGUAAAGGGUGCGUAGGUGGCGGUGCAAGUCAGAUGUGAAAUGCCGGGGCUCAACCCCGGAGCUGCAUUUGAAACUGCAUGGCUCGAGUACAGGAGAGGCAGGCGGAAUUCCUAGUGUAGCGGUGAAAUGCGUAGAUAUUAGGAGGAACACCAGUGGCGAAGGCGGCCUGCUGGACUGAAACUGACACUGAGGCACGAAAGCGUGGGGAGCAAACAGG